Long non-coding RNA from Acanthopagrus latus (yellowfin seabream), 806 nucleotides. RefSeq lists it as uncharacterized. NCBI's taxonomy places the organism in Eukaryota, Metazoa, Chordata, Actinopteri, Spariformes, Sparidae. The record is from RefSeq and is a predicted model, not a curated record. The transcript has 3 exons.
GACCAGGAGCUGAUCUGAGCUCAGCCUGGUUCUGCUGCUAAUGUGAAGUCACUGAAUAAAAGAUGCAAACAGAUUUUUUACACAAAGACAGAAAGAAGUUCAUGUAGAACAUCAGCUGAAUUAACAAGAAGGUUGAGAGAAGACUUUAGCACUUUAGACACAGAAGCAGACCGGCUGCUACAGACUGACACUUUUUACAAGGAGACAAACAACUUCAGCUUCUGAUGUGACGCUGAGUGAUCGAGUCUCACGUGUCAGAGCUGCAAACUGCAGUUUCACCACUAGAUGCCACUAAAUCACACACACGCACGCACACACACACACACACACACAACCUUUAACACAGGCUGCAGCUCAUUAAACUGAAACUAUGAUCAGCCAAUCCACAGAGAAACUGUUAGCAUGCUGCUAAAUGACACUUUGAGUUUACUGACCUGCGGUGCUGAGGAGCUGCUGAGACUUCUCCACGUCAUCCGUUUGACUUCUGUUCAGGUGUGGCAGCAGCAGGUAACACAGCAGCGUCCCCAGCGUGGCCACACACGGCGUGAUGAAGUAUCCCAACGCCUCCGUGGUGUUGCUCUCUGCGUUACCUGCAGAAGAGAUGAAGUUGUUCAGUUUUUGUCCUCGUGCUGCAGAAAACUGUGUGAACAAAUAUCCAUACAGAUGGAGAAGAGCAUGGCGAGUGCAGCGAAGAUCCCGGCCAGGCCCUGACCGCUCAUGAACAGAGUGCUGUAACGAGGAGGAAACAGGCCGACCACACCGAACAGACUGCCCUGCAGCACCGCACUGAACACUGCACACACACA